UUGUAAAGCUCUUUUGUCAGGAAUGAAUCGGUGAGGUCUAAUUCACUUUACUAAUGACGAUACCUGAAGAAUAAGCCCGGGCUAAAUACGUGCCAGCAGCCGCGGUAAUACGUAGGGUGCAAGCGUUAGUCUGAAUUACUGGGCGUAAUGUGUGCGCAGGCGGUUAUAUAGGUCAGAGGUGAAUCGCCGUGCUCUACCUGGGAACUGCAUUUGAGACUGUAUGGCUAGAGUGUGUCAGAGGGGGGUAGACUUCCACGUGUAGCAGUGAUAUGCGUAGAUAUGUGGAGGAAUACCGAUGGCGAAGGCAGCCCCCUGUGAUAACACUGACGGUCAUGCACGAAAGCGUGGGUAGCAAUCAGGAUUAGAUACCAUGGUAGUCCUCGCCUUGAACGAUGUGUACUAGUUGUUGGGUGUUAAUUGACUUAGUAACGCAGCUAACGCGUGAAGUAGACCGCCUGGGGAGUACGGUCGCAAGAUUAAAACUCAAAGGAAUUGACGGGGACCCGCACAAGCGGUGGAUGAUGUGGAUUAAUUCGAUGCAACGCGAAAAACCUUACCUACCCUUGACAUGUACAGAAUGCCGAAGAGAUUUGGCGGUGCUCGCAAGAGAACUGUAACACAGGUGCUGCAUGGCUGUCGUCAGCUCGUGUCGUGAGAUGUUGGGUUAAGUCCCGCAACGAGCGCAACCCUUGUCAUUAGUUGCUACAUUAAGUUGAGCACCCUAAUGAGACUGCCGGUGACAAACCGGAGGAAGGUGGGGAUGACGUCAAGUCCUCAUGGCCGUUAUGGGUAGGGCUUCACACGUCAUACAAUGGUACAUACAGAGGGCCGCCAACCCGCGAGGGGGAGCUAAUCCCAGAAAGUGUAUCGUAGUCCGGAUUGUAGUCUGCAACUCGACUACAUGAAGUUGGAAUCGCUAGUAAUCGCGGAUCAGCAUGUCGUGGUGAAUAGCGUU
Molecule: ribosomal RNA, 955 nt
Filed under: uncultured bacterium
Lineage: Bacteria
Description: bacterial SSU rRNA
Rfam family: Bacterial small subunit ribosomal RNA
Source: RNAcentral